This is a long non-coding RNA of Alligator sinensis (Chinese alligator), 695 nucleotides long. RefSeq lists it as uncharacterized. The record is from RefSeq and is a predicted model, not a curated record. NCBI's taxonomy places the organism in Eukaryota, Metazoa, Chordata, Crocodylia, Alligatoridae. The transcript has 4 exons.
GAGCCUGGAAGAGGGAAAGGGGAGGCAUCCCAGCAACAGGAAAGCAGUGGACCCGAGGAUCUCAGCCAUGUUCCCUGCUGCUCCCAUGCACAUUUUCUAGUGUUUACCUAUGUGCCUGUUCACCUCUACUCUGGGCGCAAGGGUGGUGAUGAAAUGAAGAUACAGUGAUUCCUGCUACAUAGACUCAGCAGUACAACGCUUGGCUCAGUGAUGAACCAGUGACACCUACCAUAUUUCCAAGGACAUUGAAGACCUGAUCAAGAGGAGGGAGAAGCAGUUCCUAACCAAACCAGAGACUUUCAGAUGUUGUGAUGAGAAGCCAGUGAAUAUGGCAGAAACUUGUGACAGGGGCCUGAAGAUGCCACUUAUAUCAUCGGAGCCAGGGGUUGUCAGCUGUAGGGCCAUUGAACCCACACACAAGUCCAUGAGUUGCACUUGUUCUGGGGAAUGUAUGGGCUACUUGCCCCCCUGUCUAGAAGGUGCGGGGGGGGGAGGAGGGAAGAUGCUCUGACUGCUGUCUUCUGAUUGGGUGACUCCCUAGUAAAGUGGCUCCAGAGGAUGUAGUGAUAGAGAGCCUGUCCCAGGGCUGCUAUAUGAAAGAUAAUGAAACAACAGGCUACAGCAUCUUUCCCCAGGAUCUAUUAUUUUCUUAGCCCUCCUUUCAUAGAAUGGCUCCUGCCAUACUCAGGAGGGUA